This 229-nucleotide ribosomal RNA is filed under the name uncultured bacterium. Its description in RNAcentral is "partial 16S ribosomal RNA". It matches the Rfam family "Bacterial small subunit ribosomal RNA", at positions 102 to 339 of the family's 1533-position model. The record is from RNAcentral.
GACGGGUGAGUAAUGCAUAGGAAUCUGCCCGAUAGUGGGGGAUAACCUGGGGAAACCCAGGCUAAUACCGCAUACGUCCUACGGGAGAAAGGGGGCUCCGGCUCCCGCUAUGGGAUGAGCCUAUGUCGGAUUAGCUAGUUGGUGAGGUAACGGCUCACCAAGGCGACGAUCCGUAGCUGGUCUGAGAGGAUGAUCAGCCACAUCGGGACUGAGACACGGCCCGAACUCC